AUGGCCUGGACCCCGCUCCUCCUGGGCCUCCUGGCUCACUGCACAGGUUCUGUAGCUUCCUAUGAGCUGAAUCAGCCGCCCUCCGUCUCUGUGAGCCCGGGAGGGGAGGCCAAGAUGACCUGUAGGGAAAGCAACAUUGGAAGCAAAUAUGUUCAAUGGUACCAGCAGAAGCCAGGCCAGGCCCCUGUGCUGGUCAUCUACCAGAAUAAGUACCGGCCCUCCGGGAUCCCUGACCGCUUCUCUGGCUCCAACUCUGGGGGCACGGCCACCCUGACCAUUACGGGUGUGCGCACUGAAGACGAGGCCGACUAUUACUGUCAGUCAUAUGGACCCGUUCUUAGAUUAUUAGAUCCUGUUGCAGAAUGUGAAUGUGAUCAGAAUGGUGGGGAGACGAUAGGAGUCCGAGUGUGGGCUUCCUGGGACAUUGCACAAGUGUUCAACCUAGUUCAGAGCUUCUGA
Sorex araneus (European shrew) is the source of this 459-nucleotide non-coding RNA. NCBI's taxonomy places the organism in Eukaryota, Metazoa, Chordata, Mammalia, Eulipotyphla, Soricidae. The record is from the annotation of a RefSeq genome assembly.